AUAUCUCUCUGUACGGGAAGGAUGAGAAGCUUCGACUAAGGUUCGAUUCGAGCGUCAGCGAGAAAGCGUUGCCGCAGGCAACGACCCGAAGGGCGAAGC
RNAcentral lists this small RNA (99 nucleotides) under Salmonella enterica. Its description in RNAcentral is "partial RtT sRNA". It matches the Rfam family "RtT RNA", at positions 1 to 97 of the family's 130-position model. From Rfam's summary of the family: This family represents a bacterial cis-regulatory element known as RtT RNA. The exact function of RtT is unknown although it is thought that it may be involved in changing the cellular response in relation to amino acid starvation. RNAcentral also lists the same sequence under 2 other names. The record is from RNAcentral. Lineage: Bacteria; Pseudomonadati; Pseudomonadota; Gammaproteobacteria; Enterobacterales; Enterobacteriaceae.